Long non-coding RNA from Lacerta agilis (Sand lizard), 871 nucleotides. RefSeq lists it as uncharacterized. The record is from RefSeq and is a predicted model, not a curated record. Lineage: Eukaryota; Metazoa; Chordata; Lepidosauria; Squamata; Lacertidae. The transcript is spliced from 4 exons.
UCAGGGAUCCCCCGCCCGCCCCUCGGCCUCCCAAGCCCGUCGCCCUCCCCCGGGGCCGGAAGCCCCCCAGCCAGCCCGAGAGGAGCCGCAGCAACGAGGAAGCAAGUGGCCCAGGAGGAGGGGGAGCCCCGGAGGAAACACGGGACCCUGAGGUGGGAAGGAAGGCGGCCCCCCUCAAACCAAAGAGGACGCGCCGGGCGCAGUCGUGUGACAAGCUGGAGUCAGAUCGGGGCCGAAACCCAGGCACUGGAGGUGCCAGCGACACACCCCUGCCUGACCCCCCUCCCGCCCCCCCUGAAUGCGGCCUGCACAGCUGGAAAUCCCGCCCCACUGCUUCCCACCCUCUCCUUACUCCGGACCGGACCGCGGGAACUCCCGAAUCUGGGACAGAAUGAUGGACAGGAGAUCCCUCGACGUUCCCGCCGCCACCGGAAGCUGCGAUGCCCUUUCAUCUCCUGGUGGAACGAGCGAAGAAACGUGAGAGAGGGGAGCAGAGGCAUGGGGAGUCCCCGCUGCCCUCAGCUCUCCCCCCUCCCUCAGAAGAGGGGCUGACCUCCUGCCCUAGAGAAACUGUCCGUCGGGACCCGCCGGGUCUCCAGUGCUGCUGACCCCCGACCCCACCCACUCUUCCUCCUUCCCCCCCCUCCUCCGUUUGUGCCUGUAUCCUUCCCUCGCUUCUGGGUCGGAGCCACCCCCCCGACCCUCGUGCCCCAGAGGGACUAGGGACACCGCCCCCACCCCUUUUGAAAUUCGGGGGGGGGGGGUGAGAGAGAAAAAAGCCACAAUGAACCACCCCUCCACCUCCUGCUCCCUUUCGCCCAUAAUAUUUGGGGUGUUGUCGAGACUCGGGUCAAAUAUGCACCAUUCUCCC